RNAcentral lists this ribosomal RNA (327 nucleotides) under Corbicula sp. BA3b. RNAcentral's name for it is "partial 28S ribosomal RNA". The record is from RNAcentral. Lineage: Eukaryota; Metazoa; Mollusca; Bivalvia; Venerida; Cyrenidae.
CCGGCCGCCAGCGGCGCUCGCAAAGUUCGGAUCCGCAAGGACCGGGCCAGCGGGACGUCCGCGUGGCUGGGGUGCACUUUCUCCGCGGUCGAGUGCUACGACCGGUUUCGAGGCGGUCAGAAGCCCGGCGGAAAGGUAGCGCCGCCCUUCGGGGUGUCGUGUUAUAGGCCGCCGCGGUGGACUCGCCGCGAGACCGAGGACGCUUGCCGCGCCGAGCGGUCCCGGGCCGUCUUGGGAGGUUCGACCUCGGCUGCACUGCUCCGCAGAGCACCGUAACCGCCGCCCUAGCACGGGUCCGGAGACCGCCGGCGCCUCGGGUCAGUAGCG